This 497-nucleotide ribosomal RNA is filed under the name uncultured bacterium. RNAcentral describes it as "partial 16S ribosomal RNA". It matches the Rfam family "Bacterial small subunit ribosomal RNA", at positions 28 to 507 of the family's 1533-position model. The record is from RNAcentral.
GAUGAACGCUGGCGGCGUGCCUAAUACAUGCAAGUCGAGCGAACGGACGAGAAGCUUGCUUCUCUGAUGUUAGCGGCGGACGGGUGAGUAACACGUGGAUAACCUACCUAUAAGACUGGGAUAACUUCGGGAAACCGGAGCUAAUACCGGAUAAUAUUUUGAACCGCAUGGUUCAAAAGUGAAAUACGGUCUUGCUGUCACUUAUAGAUGGAUCCGCGCUGCAUUAGCUAGUUGGUAAGGUAACGGCUUACCAAGGCAACGAUGCAUAGCCGACCUGAGAGGGUGAUCGGCCACACUGGAACUGAGACACGGUCAAGACUCCUACGGGAGGCAGCAGUAGGGAAUCUUCCGCAAUGGGCGAAAGCCUGACGGAGCAACGCCGAGUGAGUGAUGAAGGUCUUCGGAUCGUAAAACUCUGUUAUUAGGGAAGAACAUAUGUGUAAGUAACUGUGCACAUCUUGACGGUACCUAAUCAGAAAGCCACGGCUAACUACGUG